GGCUCUUUGGUUAUUAUAUAUAAAGAGUCGAGCCUGCCCAGUGAUGUAUUUAACGGCCGCGGUACUCUGACCGUGCAAAGGUAGCAUAAUCAUUUGCCUUAUAAUUGAAGGCUAGUAUGAAUGGUUUGACGAAAACAAAGCUGUCUCUUUUUAAUUUUUUAGAACUUGAUUUUUAGGUGAAGAAGCCUAAAUAUAAUUGAAAGACAAGAAGACCCUAUCGAGCUUUAAAAAAUUUUAUUAAAAUAAAAUAACUAAAAAAAUUGAUCAUAAUAAAAAAUUUUAGUUGGGGCGACUAAGGAACAAAAAAGCUUCCAAUUUUAUAUUUGACAAAUAAGUUCUGAUCCAAAACCUUUGAUUAAAAAAAUUAGUUACCGUAGGGAUAACAGCAUAAUCUUUUUUGAGAGCUCUUAUCGAAAAAAAGGUUUGUGACCUCGAUGUUGGACUAGAAUAUCCUAAUGGCGCAGAAGUUUUUAAGGGUUGGUCUGUUCGACCACUAAUAUUCUACGUGAUCUGAGUUCAGACCGG
RNAcentral lists this ribosomal RNA (525 nucleotides) under Hemistomia nyo. Its description in RNAcentral is "partial 16S ribosomal RNA". It matches the Rfam family "Bacterial large subunit ribosomal RNA", at positions 1817 to 2619 of the family's 2925-position model. Lineage: Eukaryota; Metazoa; Mollusca; Gastropoda; Littorinimorpha; Tateidae. The record is from RNAcentral.